This is a long non-coding RNA of Dicentrarchus labrax (European seabass), 2430 nucleotides long. RefSeq lists it as uncharacterized. The record is from RefSeq and is a predicted model, not a curated record. Lineage: Eukaryota; Metazoa; Chordata; Actinopteri; Moronidae. The transcript is spliced from 2 exons.
GUUUGACUUUUGCUCAGUGCGGGAAUCCAACCUCUGUCACAGCCUUAAAAUUCUUGUUACAAAUAAUAUCUGCACUAUUUUCUCACAUUAAAGAUCAUUUGUCGUGGCUUAAGAAACACGAUCAGACAGCAGCUCGGCAGCCUAUUACUACACUAUAGUGUUUCCGGAGACAGCCGAAUGCGGCCGAUUGCCCCCGAAGGUGUAUAUGGACGAAGUGCUGUGGAUGUUGCGCCUUCAGUGAGGAGCCACCGCGGACGGGCAGGCAGCAGGCGGAUACCACUGGCUUACCGGGAGCACUACACCGACACUGACAGACUCAAAGUCCACUGUCCCAGCAGCCGAGCGGAGGAUUUACCCGACACUCCUCACGGUGCUUUUACGGACCCUUUUUCCAACCUCGGGGAGAUUAGAGCAAGUGUUGCUGGACUGGAGGAAUUGCGAGAUUCUUUUGUAAACUGUCUGAUCUGGGGACCUCCCUGCUCUUCUUGUCUUCAACCUUCUUUUCCGAAAUGCAAACGCCCAGGAAAACCUAGAAAAUGUUUUCUAAAGCAAGAAUAGCAAGCCGUCCUGCUCUGGGUGCAAAAGAUCCAAACGCUUCAAUGCUAAAUAAGGAAGGGGAAGAAGAGUGCAUGACUUUGUGUGACACCUGGAUUUGACAGAGCCCUAAUUUGGCUGGAUGGAGAAUAGAGAAGGAGGUGAGAUGGGCAUAGUGAAGAAGUGCAACAGAUGGAGCUGGAGAUGGAGAUGAGGUGGAGUCAUGGAAAGACAGAGAGGAGGUGGAGGGAGUGUGUCGUUCAUCCACCUUGAUAAGUGGAUCAGCUGAAUGCCAGGGCUGUGAAUGUCUGAUGGAAAUACACAGUGUGUGUGUGUGUCUUCUCAUCCUAAUGAAGGCUGAAUGAGACUCAGACUUGAAUGCUGAAUGCAUCACUGCCACACACACACACGCACACACACACACACACAUACACACACGCUGCUCCUCCCUGGCAGUCAACAGUAUUUUGACAAGGCACUUUCAUUUAGAUCGACACAGCGAUAUUCACCAACAACUAUCAGUCACAGCACAACAUAUUCUGGCAUUAUAUAAAAGAGUAAGAUUACUGACAACUGUUCGUAGGACUCAUUCUUCAUAGAAAGGAGUUUGGAUGAAAACUGUUCAUGGUGCUACAACUGGGUAGUUGAUUUUUGGUCUCCUAAAUACCCUUACCUUAAUAAUAAUAAUGAUAAUAAUGACUUUUAUGACCUUUUAAACACAGGGUUUACAAAGUGAAAAAUGUAAUGUAAUUUGUGUGUGGGAAUGAUUAUUUUCAGUCAUGAUGAUGUGACAUUUGUUGAGGUUUGUACCAAACAAAAAUAUGAUUGUCUUACACAUGGAGAACAAAAUUCAAAAUACAAUACUUCAUUAUAAUGCUGUUUGUCAUAUAUUUUACCUUUACCAAACAAACUGCAGCUUCUGUGAUGUGCAUAUUGCACAUGGCCAUAUUGCUAUUUCGCUAAUAUUUCAAGUUCAGCUGUGAUGUUUUCAGUGUGUGGGUCCAAGAUCGAGCCUUAACAUCCAUCACAUCAGCAUGUACACAUAAAAUAUUAAACAUACAAAUCUGAGAUGUCAUAGUGCCAAAUAUAUCAGCCCCUACAAUGAUAGGGAUACAAUAUUAAUAAUAAUAAUAAUAAUAAUAAUAAUAAUAAUAAUAAUAAUAAUAAUAAACAAUAAUAUGAUAAAGUUUUCACCACACCAAUGAGGAUAGGGAGUUAGAAUGGUUUAUUGCUCAUAAUGCAUAAAGGUGAACCCAUAUAAUAAACUGUAGAAGGGAUAAAGGGAUGGGGGGAGAAAUCAGGUUUGUGGAUGGAUAGAUGGAUUGGUGGAGGAGUUUGGGCGAACAGAUGGGAGGGAACAGUGUGGGUGUUCUACUUGGGCUCUCAGUUAGCUCUCUCAGUUAGCUCUCAAGAACUACUUGGGCUCUCAGUUAGAGCCCAAGUAGUUCCUGUAUUUGAAUAAGAGAGAGAGAAGGGGUGAAAAAGGGGGGGUUUACUGAUCAGUUAAAUGGAGUGAAGCCUGCGAGCUAGUUCAGGCAGUCAACUCGAGCUGCGCUGUUAUACACAUGGCUCACUCCAUAACCACUAACCAAGCGCUCCCUUCCAAUCUGGCGGUCUAUUUAAACUGCACAAUUUCCCAGCUCUCCCUCUGCUCUGUCAAUGCAGCUGUUGCAUCCGUAUUGUUGCUGCUGCUCUGUAAGUUAUUGCUGCCUGCUGCACUGUAAGCCCCACCACCACCCGAACAUCCACCUGUAGGCUCUGGGCUAGGGGUUAAGGUAUUUGCUCAUCCCGCCCCAAUAUCUCUAUGAAAACAUAUCUGUGGGGGAUGAUGAGGUCGGAGCCUAGACGCCAAAAUCUAAAUAUGCUAUACUGCUGUAAUAAACAUUUCAAACGUGA